AUUGAACGCUGGCGGCAGGCUUAACACAUGCAAGUCGAACGGUAACAUAAAGAAGCUUGCUUCUUUGAUGACGAGUGGCGGACGGGUGAGUAAUGCUUGGGAAUCUAGCUUAUGGAGGGGGAUAACUACGGGAAACUGUAGCUAAUACCGCGUAGAAUCGAGAGAUGAAAGUGUGGGACCUUCGGGCCACAUGCCAUAGGAUGAGCCCAAGUGGGAUUAGGUAGUUGGUGAGGUAAAGGCUCACCAAGCCGACGAUCUCUAGCUGGUCUGAGAGGAUGACCAGCCACACUGGGACUGAGACACGGCCCAGACUCCUACGGGAGGCAGCAGUGGGGAAUAUUGCGCAAUGGGGGCAACCCUGACGCAGCCAUGCCGCGUGAAUGAAGAAGGCCUUCGGGUUGUAAAGUUCUUUCGGUAGCGAGGAAGGCAUUUAGUUUAAUAGACUAGGUGA
This 451-nucleotide ribosomal RNA is filed under the name Terrahaemophilus aromaticivorans. Its description in RNAcentral is "bacterial SSU rRNA". It matches the Rfam family "Bacterial small subunit ribosomal RNA", at positions 30 to 472 of the family's 1533-position model. The record is from RNAcentral. Lineage: Bacteria; Pseudomonadati; Pseudomonadota; Gammaproteobacteria; Pasteurellales; Pasteurellaceae.